GGAGUCUGGACCGUGUCUCAGUUCCAAUGUGACCGUUCAUCCUCUCAGACCGGUUACCGAUCGCAGGCUUGGUACGCUCUUACCCUACCAACUACCUAAUCGGACGCAGGCUCCUCGCAAAGCGAUAAAUCUUUAGUAAGUUACUCAUGCGAAUUACUUACAACAUUCGGUAUUAGCAGCCCUUUCGAACUGUUGUCCCCAUCUUUGCGGCAGAUUACCUACGCGUUACUCACCCGUUUGCCACUAAACUAAAAGUUCCGUUCGACUUGCAUGUGUUAAGCACGCCGCCAGCGUUGUCCUCGAGCCACGGAUCAAACUACU
RNAcentral lists this ribosomal RNA (321 nucleotides) under uncultured Veillonellaceae bacterium. RNAcentral's name for it is "partial 16S ribosomal RNA". The record is from RNAcentral. Lineage: Bacteria; Bacillati; Bacillota; Negativicutes; Veillonellales; Veillonellaceae.